UCGUACAAAAUGUGUGAGGCAUGCAAGGGCUGUCGCUGACUUUUGAUGCAAAAGUUGUGCACGCCAUGUGUCCUCUCACAUAAAAUCCAUCUCACCCUUUUGUGCACCACCGCGUGGGCACCCCCCGGGAUCAAACCCAAUCUCGGAGGGGGCUUGCGUUUUCACAAAAACCCCCCUUUUAAAAGUGUAGAAUGACCCCAUUUUUGUGAUAACACGCAAUCAAUA
Molecule: unclassified non-coding RNA, 225 nt
Filed under: uncultured Lactarius
Lineage: Eukaryota; Fungi; Basidiomycota; Agaricomycetes; Russulales; Russulaceae
Description: sequence contains ITS1
Source: RNAcentral